Molecule: transfer RNA, 63 nt
Filed under: Lachesilla rufa
Lineage: Eukaryota; Metazoa; Arthropoda; Insecta; Psocodea; Lachesillidae
Description: tRNA-Cys
Source: RNAcentral
AAUUUUAUAGUUUAAUGAGAAUGACAAAUUGCAAAUUUGUAGGUAAUUAUAAGUUUAAAAUUU